Molecule: ribosomal RNA, 365 nt
Filed under: uncultured bacterium
Lineage: Bacteria
Description: bacterial SSU rRNA
Rfam family: Bacterial small subunit ribosomal RNA
Source: RNAcentral
AACGAACGCUGGCGGCGUGCUUAACACAUGCAAGUCGAACGAGAAAGCGGGCUUCGGUCCGCUAGUAAAGUGGCAGACGGGUGAGUAACACGUGGGUAACCUGCCCGGAGGUGGGGACAACCCUCCGAAAGGAGGGCUAAUACCGCAUGAUAUCCCUGAGGCUUCGGCCUUGAGGAUCAAAGCUAGCCUCUACAUGUAAGCUAGCUCCACCGGGAGGGGCCCGCGGCCCAUUAGCUAGNGGUGAGGUAACGGCUCACCAAGGCGACGAUGGGUAGCCGGCCUGAGAGGGUGUUCGGCCACACUGGAACUGAGACACGGUCCAGACUCCUACGGGAGGCAGCAGUGAGGAAUCUUGCGCAAUGGGC